This 484-nucleotide ribosomal RNA is filed under the name uncultured bacterium. RNAcentral's name for it is "partial 16S ribosomal RNA". It matches the Rfam family "Bacterial small subunit ribosomal RNA", at positions 30 to 507 of the family's 1533-position model. The record is from RNAcentral.
AUUGAACGCUGGCGGCAGGCCUAACACAUGCAAGUCGAGCGGAUGAAGGGAGCUUUCUCCUGGAUUCAGCGGCGGACGGGUGAGUAAUGCCUAGGAAUCUGCCUGGUAGUGGGGGAUAACGUCCGGAAACGGGCGCUAAUACCGCAUACGUCCUGAGGGAGAAAGUGGGGGAUCUUCGGACCUCACGCUAUCAGAUGAGCCUAGGUCGGAUUAGCUAGUUGGUGGGGUAAAGGCCUACCAAGGCGACGAUCCGUAACUGGUCUGAGAGGAUGAUCAGUCACACUGGAACUGAGACACGGUCCAGACUCCUACGGGAGGCAGCAGUGGGGAAUAUUGGACAAUGGGCGAAAGCCUGACCCAGCCAUGCCGCGUGUGUGAAGAAGGUCUUCGGAUUGUAAAGCACUUUAAGUUGGGAGGAAGGGCAGUAAGUUAAUACCUUGCUGUUUUGACGUUACCAACAGAAUAAGCACCGGCUAACUUCGUG